GCUGGUAUGGCUCAGUAGGUAGAGCACGUCAUUGGUAAUGACGAGGUCACCGGUCCGAAUCCGGUUACCAGCUCCA
This 76-nucleotide transfer RNA is filed under the name Clostridia bacterium. RNAcentral's name for it is "tRNA-Thr". It matches the Rfam family "tRNA". Rfam says of the family: Transfer RNA (tRNA) molecules are approximately 80 nucleotides in length. The record is from RNAcentral. Lineage: Bacteria; Bacillati; Bacillota; Clostridia.